UCAGGAGUGAACGCUAGCGACAGGCUAACACAUGCGAAGUCGGGGGCGAGCAUAAAGUAAGACAAUACUUGGUGGCGACCGGCGCACGGGUGAGUAACGCGUAUGCAACCUACCUAUCAGAGGGGAAUAACCCGGCGAAAGUCGGACUAAUACCGCAUAAAACAGGGGCACCGCAUGGUGAUAUUUGUUAAAGAAAUUCGCUGAUAGAUGGGCAUGCGUUCCAUUAGGUAGUUGGUGAGGUAACGGCUCACCAAGCCGACGAUGGAUAGGGGAACUGAGAGGUUGGUCCCCCACACUGGUACUGAGACACGGACCAGACUCCUACGGGAGGCAGCAGUGAGGAAUAUUGGUCAAUGGGCGGGAGCCUGAACCAGCCAAGUCGCGUGAAGGAAGAAGGAUCUAUGGUUCGUAAACUUCUUUUGCAGGGGAAUAAAGUGCAGGACGUGUCCUGUUUUGUAUGUACCCUGAGAAUAAGGAUCGGCUAACUCCGUGCCAGCCGCCGC
RNAcentral lists this ribosomal RNA (503 nucleotides) under uncultured bacterium. RNAcentral describes it as "bacterial SSU rRNA". It matches the Rfam family "Bacterial small subunit ribosomal RNA", at positions 27 to 518 of the family's 1533-position model. The record is from RNAcentral.